GAUGAACGCUGGCGGCGUGCCUAAUACAUGCAAGUCGAGCGAACGGACGAGAAGCUUGCUUUUCUGAUGUUAGCGGCGGACGGGUGAGUAACACGUGGAUAACCUACCUAUAAGACUGGGAUAACUUCGGGAAACCGGAGCUAAUACCGGAUAAUAUUUUGAAGCGCAUGGGUCAAAAGUGAAAGACGGUCUUGGUGGCACUUAUAGAUGGAUCCGCGCUGCAUUAGCUAGUUGGUAAGGUAACGGCUUACCAAGGCAACGAGGCAUAGCCGACCUGAGGGGGGGACCGGCCACAGUGGGACUGAGAGACGGCCCAGACGCCUACGGGAGGCAGCAGUGGGGAAUAUUGCACAAUGGGCGGAAGCCUGAUGCAGCAUCGCCACGUUCGGGAUGACGGCCUUCGGGUUGUAAACCGCUUUCGCCUGUGACGAAGCGUGAGUGACGGUAAUGGAUAAAGAAGCACCGGCUAACUACGUG
This 477-nucleotide ribosomal RNA is filed under the name uncultured bacterium. Its description in RNAcentral is "partial 16S ribosomal RNA". It matches the Rfam family "Bacterial small subunit ribosomal RNA", at positions 28 to 507 of the family's 1533-position model. The record is from RNAcentral.